UUGAACGCUGGCGGCAGGCUUAACACAUGCAAGUCGAGCGGAAACGAGAAGUGCUUGCACUUCGGCGUCGAGCGGCGGACGGGUGAGUAAUGCUUGGGAAUAUGCCUUGAGGUGGGGGACAACAGUUGGAAACGACUGCUAAUACCGCAUAAUGUCUACGGACCAAAGGAGGGGAUCUUCGGACCUUUCGCCUUUAGAUUAGCCCAAGUGAGAUUAGCUAGUUGGUGGGGUAAUGGCCUACCAAGGCGUCGAUCUCUAGCUGGUUUGAGAGGAUGAUCAGCCACACUGGGGACUGAGACACGGCCCCAGACUCCUACGGGAGGCAGCAGUGGGGAAUAUUGCACAAUGGGGGAAACCCUGAUGCAGCCCAUGCCGCGUGUGUGAAGAGG
This 389-nucleotide ribosomal RNA is filed under the name uncultured Gammaproteobacteria bacterium. Its description in RNAcentral is "bacterial SSU rRNA". It matches the Rfam family "Bacterial small subunit ribosomal RNA", at positions 30 to 413 of the family's 1533-position model. Lineage: Bacteria; Pseudomonadati; Pseudomonadota; Gammaproteobacteria. The record is from RNAcentral.